UACGAAGGGAGCUAGCGUUGUUCGGAAUUACUGGGCGUAAAGGGCGUGUAGGCGGACUAUCAAGUUAGGGGUGAAAUCCCGGGGCUCAACCUCGGAACUGCCCUUAAUACUUAUAGUCUAGAGUCUGUGAGGGGAUAGUGGAAUACCUAGUGUAGAGGUGAAAUUCGUAGAUAUUAGGUGGAACACCAGUGGCGAAGGCGGCUCACUGGCUCGAUACUGACGCUGAGGUGCGAAAGUGUGGGGAGCAAACAGG
Molecule: ribosomal RNA, 253 nt
Filed under: uncultured bacterium
Lineage: Bacteria
Description: partial 16S ribosomal RNA
Rfam family: Bacterial small subunit ribosomal RNA
Source: RNAcentral